UGUGCAUUUGUGGAUAUUUCUGUGAGUACCUGCAUUGUUCAUGGGCACAUUAGAAGUGAUGUUAGAAGCCAAGUUGUGAUCUACAGUGUCUCCUGCAGAGGCCUGAUGGAGGCUGCCCGACUAGCAACGUCGCACCCCUCCAGCCACAGCAUCUGUCAGGAAAAUCUUUUUUGCAAACUCAAUCUACAUCUGCUGCGAUUUUCAGAGGACUGGAGAGGUAAAAGUGACAAGAUUUCACAACAACCUUGAGGGUGUCACAGUGCUGCCAAACAAGAAUGCUGCUGUCACGUCGAGAUCGAUGCAGCUCUCCUCCAUCCCUGCAAACCCAUCACAUCCAUCCAGAUUUUCAGCCAUUUCUCUUCACCUCUUAAACCACCAUCACCACUGUCUAGACUCCACUGGGGGAAUUUCCUGUACAGCUCACAGAAUGACUACACCUCUAAAUGAUGAUAUGAUGGGGUCAAAUUGCUAAAGACUCCUCACAUAUUUCUUCAUCUUUUUUGUUGUGCGCAGUAAAUCAAAGAAGCUUC
Molecule: long non-coding RNA, 530 nt
Organism: Lates calcarifer (barramundi perch)
Lineage: Eukaryota; Metazoa; Chordata; Actinopteri; Centropomidae
Exons: 3
Source: RefSeq, a predicted model, not a curated record